Molecule: ribosomal RNA, 569 nt
Filed under: uncultured bacterium
Lineage: Bacteria
Description: partial 16S ribosomal RNA
Rfam family: Bacterial small subunit ribosomal RNA
Source: RNAcentral
UGGGGAAUAUUGGCACAAUGGGCGAAAGCCUGAUGCAGCGACGCCGCGUGAGGGAUGACGGCCUUCGGGUUGUAAACCUCUUUCAGCAGGGAAGAAGCGAAAGUGACGGUACCUGCAGAAGAAGCGCCGGCUAACUACGUGCCAGCAGCCGCGGUAAUACGUAGGGCGCAAGCGUUGUCCGGAAUUAUUGGGCGUAAAGAGCUCGUAGGCGGUUAGUCGCGUCUGCUGCGAAAACUCGAGGCUCAACCUCGGGCUUGCAGUGGGUACGGGCUGACUAGAGUGCGGUAGGGGUGACUGGAAUUCCUGGUGUAGCGGUGGAAUGCGCAGAUAUCAGGAGGAACACCGAUGGCGAAGGCAGGUCACUGGGCCGCAACUGACGCUGAGGAGCGAAAGCAUGGGGAGCGAACAGGAUUAGAUACCCUGGUAGUCCAUGCCGUAAACGUUGGGCACUAGGUGUGGGGUCCAUUUCCACGGAUUCCGUGCCGCAGCAAACGCAUUAAGUGCCCCGCCUGGGGAGUACGGCCGCAAGGCUAAAACUCAAAGGAAUUGACGGGGUCAUAGCUGUUUCC